AUGAAUUGGACACAGGCGGAACUGGACAAUUUGGACAGAAAAACAAGAAAACUCAUGACCAUUCAUCAUUCACUGCACCCUCGCAGUGAUGUUGACCGGCUCUAUCUGCCUAGAAGAUCAGGGGGCAGAGGACUCUUGCAAGUAAAACAAGCAGUCAAAGAAGAAGAACAUGCCCUGGCAGAAUAUGGAAAGCAAAGUGAAAAACCUGCUUUGAUUGAAGUCAAAAAUCAGAAACUCCUCAAAGCACAGCAGACAAAAAACCAGUACAAGAAAACCGCACUACAAACUAGAGCUGACAGCUGGCACAACAAAACAUUGCAUAGAAAGUUCCUUGACAAAAUUGAAGGAAAAGCUGAAAAGGAGAAGACCUGGCUCUGGCUCACGAAUCGGACCCUGAAGAAGGAGACAGAAGGCCUGAUCCUUGCAGCCCAGGAGCAAGACAUCAGGACAAAGGCUAAGACCAAGAUCAAAAAAUCAGCUGAUGACCCAAAAUGCAGUCUGUGCAAGGAAGCUGACGAAACCAUGGAUCAUAUCCUCAGCUGCUGUAAGAAAACCACACAGACAGACUACAAACAGAGGCACAACUAUGUGGCCCAAAUGAUUCAUUGGAACUUAUGCCUCAAGUACCACCUCCCAGCAGCAAAGAACUGGUGGGCUCACAAACCUGCAAAAGUAUUGGAAAAUGAACACGCAAAGAUACUGUGGGACUUCCGAAUCCAGACUGACAAAGUUCUGGAACACAACACACCAGACAUCACAGUUGUGGGGGAAAAAAAGGUUUGGAUGAUUGAUGUCGCCAUCCCAGGUGACAGUCGCAUUGACAAAAAACAACAGGAAAAACUCAGCCGCUAUCAGGACCUCAAGAUUGAACUUCAAAGACUCUGGCAGAAACCAGAGCAGGUGGUCCCAGUGGUGAUGGGCACACUGGGUGCCGUGCCCAAAGAUCUCAGCCGGCAUUUGGAAACAAUAGACAUUGACAAAAUUACGAUCUGCCAACAGCAAAAGGCCACCCUACUGGGAUCUGCACGCAUAAUCCGAAAAUACAUCACACAGUCCUAG
RNAcentral lists this long non-coding RNA (1059 nucleotides) under Anolis carolinensis (green anole). RNAcentral describes it as "lncRNA (ENSACAG00000035713.1)". The record is from RNAcentral. Lineage: Eukaryota; Metazoa; Chordata; Lepidosauria; Squamata; Anolidae.